CAUGCGGUAGCAGACCCAUCCUGUGUGAGACGCCACAACACAGGGCAACCUUGCAUGGUCCAACCAGAAGUUGCCAUGUGGCCAUGAUUAGAAAAGGAAACGAUUUCUUUCCUUCAUGCAAGUUGCAAUUGCACGAGGUUUCUUCUCUGUUUCACACGCAAGAGCAGUUACCUUUCUCUCCUAUGCUCGACACGAAUGGCAACCGCAAGGGAGGAUGGGAUCACGUGGGGGAGGAGGGAAAGUGGUGCUGGCCAGAGCAUGGCAGGGCAGCGCAGGGGCUCGCCGACCGGCUAGCAGGGGAGGGGCGCGGGCUGGCCUGGCCGGGGCUCAGCGCUAGGCUUCAACGCAGGUGGCAGGGAACCGCGGCCAGGGCUAGGCAGCGGCGGGACUCGCCGGACAGAGGCCACG
Molecule: unclassified non-coding RNA, 408 nt
Filed under: Zea mays
Lineage: Eukaryota; Viridiplantae; Streptophyta; Magnoliopsida; Poales; Poaceae
Description: misc RNA Zm00001eb210330
Source: RNAcentral